This is a non-coding RNA of Triticum aestivum (bread wheat), 135 nucleotides long. NCBI's taxonomy places the organism in Eukaryota, Viridiplantae, Streptophyta, Magnoliopsida, Poales, Poaceae. The record is from Rfam.
AAAGUACUCCCUCUGUCCCAAAAUUCUUGUCUUAGAUUUGUCUAGAUAUGGAUGUAUCAAGUCACAUUUUAGUAUUAGAUACAUCCGUAUCUAGACAAAUCUAAGACAAGAAAUUUGGGACAGAGGGAGUAGUUG